CCUACGGGUGGCAGCAGUGGGGGAUAUUGCACAAUGGGGGAAACCCUGAUGCAGCGACGCCGCGUGGGCGAAGAAGUAUUUCGGUAUGUAAAGCCCUAUCAGCAGGGAAGAAGAAAUGACGGUACCUGAGUAAGAAGCACCGGCUAAAUACGUGCCAGCAGCCGCGGUAAUACGUAUGGUGCAAGCGUUAUCCGGAUUUACUGGGUGUAAAGGGAGCGCAGGCGGGAAGCCAAGUCAGCUGUGAAAACUACGGGCUUAACUUGUAGACUGCAGUUGAAACUGGUUUUCUUGAGUGAAGUAGAGGUUGGCGGAAUUCCGAGUGUAGCGGUGAAAUGCGUAGAUAUUCGGAGGAACACCGGUGGCGAAGGCGGCCAACUGGGCUUUAACUGACGCUGAGGCUCGAAAGUGUGGGGAGCAAACAGGAUUAGAUACCCGGGUAGUC
This 442-nucleotide ribosomal RNA is filed under the name uncultured bacterium. RNAcentral describes it as "partial 16S ribosomal RNA". It matches the Rfam family "Bacterial small subunit ribosomal RNA", at positions 338 to 795 of the family's 1533-position model. The record is from RNAcentral.